GACGAACGCUGGCGGCGUGCCUAAUACAUGCAAGUAGAACGCUGAAGGAGGAGCUUACUUCUCUGGAUGAGUUGCGAACGGGUGAGUAACACGUAGGUAACCUGCCUGGUAGGGGGGGAUAACUAUUGGAAACGAUAGCUAAUACCGCAUAAGAGUAGAUGUUGCAUGACAUUUACUUAAAAGGUGCAAUUGCACCACUACCAGAUGGACCUGGGUUGUAUUAGCUAGUUGGUGGGGUAACGGCUUACCAAGGCGACGAUACAUAGCCGACCUGAGAGGGUGAUCGGCCACACUGGGACUGAGACACGGCCCAGACUCCUACGGGAGGCAGCAGUAGGGAAUCUUCGGCAAUGGACGGAAGUCUGACCGAGCAACGCCGCGUGAGUGAAGAAGGUUUUCGGAUCGUAAAGCUCUGUUGUAAGAGAAGAACGAGUGUGAGAGUGGAAAGUUCACACUGUGACGGUAUCUUACCAGAAAGGGACGGCUAACUACGUGCCAGCCGCCGCCGUAA
Molecule: ribosomal RNA, 511 nt
Filed under: uncultured bacterium
Lineage: Bacteria
Description: partial 16S ribosomal RNA
Rfam family: Bacterial small subunit ribosomal RNA
Source: RNAcentral